AGAGCGAACGCUGGCGGCAUGCUUAACACAUGCAAGUCUCACGGGCAGCAAUGUCAGUGGCGGACGGGUGAGUAACGCGUAGGUAUCUAUCCAUGGGUGGGGGAUAACGUCGGGAAACUGACGCUAAUACCGCAUGACAUCUGAGGAUCAAAGGCGCGAGUCGCCUGUGGAGGAGCCUGCGUACGAUUAGCUAGUUGGUGGGGUAAAGGCCUACCAAGGCGACGAUCGUUAGCUGGUCUGAGAGGAUGAUCAGCCACACUGGGACUGAGACACGGCCCAGACUCCUACGGGAGGCAGCAGUGGGGAAUAUUGGACAAUGGGCGAAAGCCUGAUCCAGCAAUGCCGCGUGUGUGAAGAAGGUCUUCGGAUUGUAAAGCACUUUCGGCGGGGACGAUGAUGACGGUACCCGCAGAAGAAGCCCGGCUAACUUCGCGCCAGCAGCCGCGGUAA
This 450-nucleotide ribosomal RNA is filed under the name uncultured bacterium. Its description in RNAcentral is "SSU rRNA". It matches the Rfam family "Bacterial small subunit ribosomal RNA", at positions 26 to 523 of the family's 1533-position model. The record is from RNAcentral.